AAACAACUAACCAGAACCAGUGACCAUGAUGCAUCUACCAAAAAAAUAUGCUGCUGGGAUUUAUUUCAUGGAGAGAAAACGAUUACCACUGGUUGGAAUAGCUAUUCGAUUCCACUACUUGACCUAGGCCUAGGUGUCGAGAAACCAACAUGGAAUCAGAACGGAGCAGAAAAAUUUCACACGCUGUACUUGACUCCACUACUCCCUGCACAAAUGUCAAGCAGGCAUGAUGGCACUAGACCAGAACAUAGUAACGCAUAAAGCUGUACUUGGCUCCACUACUUAUGGAAAUGUAGAAAAAUACAAUUUUAAUGCCUCAAUCAAGAUGACUGGCAAUUUUAUCAUUGAGAUGACAUCUUGGCACUAGAGAGCACCCUACACAAUGAAGUGGUGGCUGCACAGCAUUCCAUUGCUUUAUUCUCUUCCAUGGUGUGUUCCCUUACUACUCCAAAGAAGAGAAUAAACAGCUAAUAAUGGUAAUGCUGUUGGUAUCGCCAGUUUUAGGAAAGAUUCUAAUUCCAGCAGCAAUUAAACUCAUCAACAACUUUUCUUUUCCUUAACAGAAAAAGAAACAGUUAAAUGAGGCUUACCUAAACAACCAACGCAGCAAAGACGAGCAUUUGAGGGUGAAGAGGCUUCCACGUGGGCACUGCCGCAUGUUUGUCUCCACUAGAUAACUCAAAAAUAAUAGUUAGAGAGCGGAAUAUCAGAAAGCCAG
RNAcentral lists this long non-coding RNA (718 nucleotides) under Triticum aestivum (bread wheat). RNAcentral's name for it is "long non-coding RNA (TAES_LNC005486)". The record is from RNAcentral. Lineage: Eukaryota; Viridiplantae; Streptophyta; Magnoliopsida; Poales; Poaceae.